Periophthalmus magnuspinnatus is the source of this 267-nucleotide long non-coding RNA. RefSeq lists it as uncharacterized. The transcript has 3 exons. The record is from RefSeq and is a predicted model, not a curated record. NCBI's taxonomy places the organism in Eukaryota, Metazoa, Chordata, Actinopteri, Gobiiformes, Gobiidae.
CUUUCCGCCGACCACAAAAGCAGAUUGGAGAAGAUUAGCCCUCGCUUGGCCGUGUUCCUGUGUGUCUUGCUGAUCCCCGUUCACCCAGCUCCAGUGUGUGCCCUGCAGCGCUCUGAAGGUGCGGCUCUCUGAAGCUGCUGCAGCAGGACUGAAGUGAGCAGAGGCUUCUCUCUAAAGAGCCCCAGGCGCAGCUGCCUCGCCCCGAGUGAGACCGGAGCACGCCCCCGGCCAGAUGCACACAGCGCCCAGGAAAAGUCAGCUGGAAGA